RNAcentral lists this ribosomal RNA (207 nucleotides) under uncultured bacterium. RNAcentral's name for it is "partial 16S ribosomal RNA". It matches the Rfam family "Bacterial small subunit ribosomal RNA", at positions 568 to 774 of the family's 1533-position model. The record is from RNAcentral.
CGCGUAGGCGGCCUGAUAAGUAGGGGGUGAAAUCCUGUGGCUUAACUGCAGGGCUGCCUCCUAGACUGUCAGGCUCGAGCACGGUAGAGGCAGAUGGAAUUCCCGGUGUAGCGGUGGAAUGCGUAGAGAUCGGGAAGAACAUCGGUGGCGAAGGCGGUCUGCUGGGCCGUUGCUGACGCUGAGGCGCGACAGCGUGGGGAGCAAACA